AGGGUUUGAUCCUGGCUCAGGACUAGCGCUGGCGGUGUGUCUUAGACAUGCAAGUCGAGCGGGGCGCAGUGUGGUAGCAAUACCGUGCUGCGCUUAGCGGCGAACGGGUGAGUAAUACAGGGGUAGCUACCCCCGAGGAGGAGCAUAACCCAUCGAAAGGUGGGCUAAUACUCCAUGUGCUGACUGGUGGGCAUCCUCCGGUCAGUAAAGGUGCCGCAAGGUGCCGCCUCGGGACGGGCUCCUGGCCUAUCAGCUUGAUGGCGGGGUAACGGCCCACCAUGGCUGAGACGGGUAGCUGGCGUGAGAGCGUGACCAGCCACAGGGGAACUGAGACACGGUCCCGACUCCUACGGGAGGCAGCAGUCUAGAAAUUUGGGCAAUGGACGAAAGUCUGACCCAGCGACACCGCGUGGAGGAUGAAGUCCUUCGGGAUGUAAACUCCUGUCAGGGGGAGCGAAGCCCGCUUAACCGCGGGUGACGGUACCCCCAGAGGAAGCCCCGGCUAACUACGUGCCAGCAGCCGCGGUAAUACGUAGGGGGCGAGCGUUGUCCGGAUUCACUGGGCGUAAAGGGUGUGUAGGCGGACUGGCGGGUCGCGGGUGAAAGCCCCCGGCUCAACCGGGGAACUGCUCGCGAAACUACCAGUCUGGAGGGCAGGAGAGGGAGUUGGAACUUCCGGUGUAGCGGUAAAAUGCGUGGAUAUCGGAAGGAACGCCGAUGGCGAAGGCAGGCUCCUGGAAUGCACCUGACGCUGAAACACGAAAGCUAGGGGAGCAAACAGGAUUAGAUACCCUGGUAGUCCUAGCCGUAAACGAUGCACACUGGGCGUGCCCGAUUCUGGGUGUGCCGCAGCCAACGCGUUAAGUGUGCCGCCUGGGGACUACGGCCGCAAGGUUGAAACUCAAAGGAAUUGACGGGGACCCGCACAAGCGGUGGAGGAUGUGGUUUAAUUCGAUGCUACGCGAAGAACCUUACCUGGGUUUGACAUGCUGGUGGUAGUGACCCGAAAGGGGAGCGACUCGGGUUUUUCCCGGGAGCCAGCACAGGUGCUGCAUGGCUGUCGUCAGCUCGUGCCGUGAGGUGUAUGGUUAAGUCCCGCAACGAGCGCAACCCCUGCCCUUAGUUGCUAACCCGUAAGGGUGCACUCUAAGGGGACUGCCUCUGUCAAGGAGGAGGAAGGUGGGGAUGACGUCAAGUCAGCAUGGCCUUUAUGCCCA
RNAcentral lists this ribosomal RNA (1217 nucleotides) under uncultured bacterium. Its description in RNAcentral is "bacterial SSU rRNA". It matches the Rfam family "Bacterial small subunit ribosomal RNA", at positions 8 to 1210 of the family's 1533-position model. The record is from RNAcentral.